CGAUGCUACUAGAAAAUCGACAGACCACACACUGACACACCUGAACACACACACACACACACAAAAAAGCUGCCUUUGAUGGCCACCAAGGCCCCGAGCUGCUCCACCCGCUUCAGAUCUCCGGCCAGCGCCGUUUGGUUCCUGCCGGCCGCCGUCUUCAUCCUCCUCCUCCUCCUUCUGGGCCGCCCGACCAUGGACCCCUACGCUCCCGCCACCCCUCCUGGUCCCGUGUCUUCCCGGCGCGCCGAUCUGUACGGCAGGAUGGCGCGGGACCUUGACGAGCGCGGCGCGGCCUUCUUGAAGGGCGGCGAGACAUCGCAGUCCCUCACGCUCUCGGACCUCUUCGAGGUCAGGGACGGCGCCGUCGUGCCCAGGCUCAAGGUGAAGGCUUCUCGCCCCCUGCUCUCGCCGUCGUGGCACGCAUGAAUUUCUGAAAGUGUGACCGCUCUGCUGCUCAUCUCAUCAGGCCGUCGACCCGCCGGUGCGUGCAAACGUGCUCUACCUGGACCCGGUGUUCGCCGCCGAGAUAGCGAAGGCUGUGAAGGAAGUAUUUCUUCCUUAUUUUGAUAAAGCUAUUUGGUUCCAAAAUUCGAGCAUGUACCACUUUAGUAUGUUUCAUGCCUCCCAUCAUCUGGAGCCAAUCUUAGCAACCAAGGAUGAGAUUGAAGCCGAAGUCGAUGCUGUAAAAGGAGUUACUGAGGCUGUUUGCCCCCUUAAAAUUUCUUUGGAUCGAGUGGUCUUGACAUCAACUGGAGUUCUUCUUGGCUUGUGGCAGGUUGAAUCUGGUACUGAUCCUGCCGACAUCCGCUCAAAAUUGAGAGAAGCUCUCCCUCGAGCACCCCAAAAGCAGUUGUAUGAUCCUGUUCUCCUCCACACAUCCUUUGCGCGAAUUCUGGGACCUCCUAAGCUCCCACAACAGGAGGACACGUCAUCUUUCAGUCACAUCAAAUUCUUCCAUGACCUCGUUGCACAGGUUAAUGGGAAAAUCCGUGGCUUCCAGGCAAAGGUAUCAGAGUUGUGGUAUGUAGAAGAGUACGAUGUGCUAGCCCUAGCACUGAAUGGAAAGAUGAGAGUGCGGAGGCUCCACCUUGGCUGCAAUGAGGGCCAAGAUAACUGAUGACAGUAAAGAGAACACCACCAGGGUAUCAGUGCGCAAUGCAUCGUCUUUAUGAGUUAGCAAUGCUUGGGAGUGCCUCUAUGAUUAACAUAUACUAGUGUGUGCCUGUAGCGCGCUACUACUACUUAACAGUAGCAUUGGGUAGGGAUCUACCUAUAAGGUAUUUCCUCGUAGCGUUUUGCAGUGAGCUGCUUAUUUUUACUCGGCAAACCUUUUGCCGAGUAGCUGACAAAUAACACUCAGCUUAUGUCGUUAUGCCUACCAGGAGUAUGCCGAGUCCUUUUUGUCGAGUGUAACACCCGAUAACUUUUUGCCGAGGUUAAAUUUAGCUUUCACGGUGUAGUCUUCGUACUUGACUUUCACGUUUUUUCCUGUAAUGAAAGAGAGGAAGUGUUGAUAGCAACGGAUUCCUUGAUCAAAAUCGGACGACAAGGAUCCCAUCGCGCUGGAUGACUUAGCGAACUACAGCUGCCACAUCAUUUAUGCGUGUGACCGAACAGCUGGCGUCGCGUUCAUGUCCAGGUGAGCGAACGUUCGCUCAAUAGUAUUUCCGCUCAAACUUUGGCUCUAUUUUUCUUUUUUCUUUUAAAGAUAAGUUCGGCUCUAUUUUUCUGAUGUGUUUCGCUUUAGGGUUGUUUAUUUGCGUAGGACUGUCGGGGGAUAAUUGGAUCGAGUAGGAGUUGUUACGUGGAAGAGGGGCUAGCUAGCUGCGCGAUCCUUUGGCUAGGUGAUGAGGAAGAAAUUGACACGGCCAGGUGAUGAGGAAGAAAUUGACACGGCCGGCCGUUGUAUGGGAGCACGGCCAGAGAUGGACUUCGAUAAGGUCUGCACCCAAAUCACAUGGUUCGGCCACCCUAUUCUCAUCCGAUAUAACUACCAAAAGGGCCCGUGCGUUGCAACGAAAGAAUUUUUUUUUGAUAAUCUUCAA
This 2045-nucleotide ribosomal RNA is filed under the name Triticum aestivum (bread wheat). RNAcentral describes it as "partial small subunit ribosomal RNA". The record is from RNAcentral. Lineage: Eukaryota; Viridiplantae; Streptophyta; Magnoliopsida; Poales; Poaceae.